GACUGACACCAAGCCUAGGUCCGGCCAUCUUGUGACGGCAAGCGCUCUCUGAUCUCAAAACACCCCCAAAUGUGGGUAAUUUGUGUCCGAAAUUGCACAAAAUUGUUCAUAAACAAUCCUUGACAACGGCCUCAGUGCGUGCAAGUUCAUAACUCACGUGUAUGUGUCGUAAAAUGCGUACAAAUUAAACGGAUUGUUUGUUGCUUUUUGUGUAACAUUUUUGUGUGUGUAGUCGUCUUCAGAGUCCACAUCAAGUUUUACUUCACUGUUCGAUGAUCUCAUUGGAUAAUUAUAUCAUUCGGCGCACAAUUCCGGAUAUGGGUUAGACAAAUUCUCGAUGGUGACCAGGCGUCAUUCAAUAUUAUAGAGCUUUGGGGGCGAUGGAUAAAGAAAAUGGUGAACAAACAGAAGGUGGUUCAAGCUCCAAUAAAAUCUCCAGUGCCCCCGACACUUUACUGGAUGCUGCAAGUUUGUUUGCUUAUUGGCCUCGAAGCGAAUCUAGUGGUGCAGCUGCAGCAGCUGCGGCUGCCAACGCGGCCAAUCUUUUUGCGGCCACGGGAGGCGCAUACGGCCUGGCACCCCAUCCCUCUUUACCGUUCGGAAUGUUGCCUCCAACUUCCAGCAGAGGAAUGCCCUCGUAUCCAACAGCCACAAGCGCUGCAGCCGUCUAUAGCAAUGCUUACUCAAAUACACUAUCGGUUGCAGCAAGUCAAGCCGCGAGUUUGGGGAUACCCGCGGCCAGUGCUGCAUGGUGGUCCAUGGCAUCACAUUUGGCAGCUCAGGACUACCUUGCCCGUUUGCAAGCUUCAGGUCUAAAUUUUCCUGGUUUACCAAAUCCUGCCGAUUUACCUUAUUCACCCUUAUCCUUGUCCUCUCUCACAGGUUAUCCUAAGGCUAAGACAUCGAAAAAUUCUUCAACUUUAUCCUCCACAGCUUCACUGCCAAAGCAUCAAUCGUCAUCUGUCGGAAAUACGUUGGUAAAGUCGCAAAAAACCCCCGCACAUUCUAUCAAUUAUUCAUCAAGCUCAAUGAAAUUGAAUGAUGGGAGGACAGAGCAGUCAAUUUAUACUAAUACGCCGAUGCCAUCUAGUAGAAAUAAUACUGCAACUAGUAAUUGCGCUUCGUCUUCUUCAAAACUGCCUUCUAAUCCUGGUCUAACGAUACAGCCCAGUAUGCGAAUUCCAACUAGUGCCAGUUCUAGUACCAUAACAAGUAGCAGUGGUAACAGUAACGCCGAUAGAAGAACAUCCAAAGUUAACGAAUACGGUUAUCUAAAAAAUGUAGAGAAACCAAAAAGUUCAAGUCCAAAAAUAUCACCCUCAACCGCUAGUAUUUUUACCAAUCCACUCAGUUUGGCCAAUAACAUAGAUAAGAAUAGUAUUAACUCUAACAAUUCUCCAAGUCCAGGCCUUUCUUCUGGAUUCCCACCUAGUAUUUUAAGUUCAGCAUUAGAAGGAACAAGUGAUCCAAAUUCAAUACUGGGUGGAGUUAGACUUCCGCCCGAUACGGAAAUUAUCAAAUACACUUCAUCUAUAGUCGGUCCAAAAAUACCGGGCACAACGAAUAGGGGCCGAAAAAAGACAAUUUCUUUGGAUCCACCUUGUGUUAGUGUACAUCCUUCGCAUGGCAUUUUUGGUAUGGAGAAGACUGCUAAACGUCCGAAAUUGAAUAUAUUUAAUCAAGAAAUGAAAGAACCAAGCAGCACACCGCCUUCCGUUUUGGGUAACGAUAAAGUUGAAGUCAUAAAAUUACAAUCAACGAACGGUAGUCCAGGUAUCUCGCCGUUAUCUCUCACAACUAACUCUAGUUUUGGAGAUAGUUCCUCUGAUGCACCCCUUAAUUUAUCAUUGAAACCUGCAGUCACAUCGUCCUCUAACCUCUCCAGUUCUUCGCUCAAUUCCCUCAGCAAUAUGUCUGCGAACAUUGGCAUGGACAGGAUAUCUCGAAGGAAACCUGGUCCGAAACCUCGUCGUGUAAUUCAGGCUCCUACCCAUCUACCUCCAGGUGCUCCAAGCGCUUCCUUGCAGCAGUUAUUUGCAACAGCGGAUUCUCCCCGCCCGCCGAGUCGCAGUGACGAAAUCAUUCAAUUUUACAGCGGUAGUACUACUACAACAACUGUAUCAACAACAACUACCACCAUAACUACAACAAAUUCUAUUACUACCACAGUUUCUUCCCUUGCCACCUUGUCUUCUUCUGCUUCAAUAAUUCCCAUGCACAAAGAUGGUCGGCCCAGGAACCUUGGACGAGGUGUUAGUAAGCCGAAAAAGAACACCGUAGCUUCCUUGUUAGCACAAAGCAGAGCUCUAGGCAUAAAGCCUAUGCCAAUAUUAGAUCCUAAUACGUCCAUGAAUCAGCAAAUAUCGUUAUUAAAAUCAAAUAUUUUGGCAGCCCAGCAGUUAAUGGUAGAGGUAGGGGGUGACGAAAAAACUUUUAAUAAGUUAUUACAGGAAAAAAUUAAGGGUACUCUGAGCGACUCCAACUCGAGUACCGUUGAUGCCUCUACAGAUUCUGAUAAUCAUACCGAUUCUAAUCAUACUGAUUCUGAAAUAGAAGCAGAGCCAUUGUCUACGCUUAAGAAGCAAAAGCAAUACGAUGAGAAUAUGUUAAGGGUACCAUUAGCAAAAGGUUGGAGACGAGAAACUAUAAUUAGAGGCCUUGGAAAGAAUGGAACAAUAAAAGGGGACAUUUCAUACAUAGCCCCCGAUUCAUCUAACAAAUUUAGGCAAAUGUCAGAUAUUACUCAGUACUUAGAUUAUCAUAAGGUCCCAGACUUAACAAAAGAAAAUUUCACAUUCAGCAGUCGGGUUAUCAUUGGGGACUACUUACAACCGGUUCCUGUAGGAAUGGGAACUGAAGGAACCGAUUGUAUUAAACUAAGUGAAGAAGAUGUUAUUAAAAGGCUAGAAGAAUUGAAAGCGACGAUGCGAUCGAAUCUCGCAGUAGAACAACGGAUAGAAGUUGCGAGAAGACAACAGGCAGCGAGAGCGCAAGCUCGUCUUGAAAAAGAACAAGCACGUAUACAGAGAGAAAUGGAAAGAAACGAAAAACAGGAAGCCGCUAGGAAAGAGCGAGAAGCAAGAUCCCAACAAAUGCUCGAGGAGAGAGAAAGAAGACGCCAGCAUAUGGCAUUAGUGAAAGCUCUCGAAGCUCGCAGGAAAUUGGAAGCAAGAGAACGAAAAAAACAAGUUUUGCUUGCUGAAAAACAAGCCAACAAAGAACGUAAAAUGGAGCAGCGAAGAAUAGAAAUGGAGAUUCUUACUGAAAUUCGAAAACCAUGCGAAGAUCUCGAACUCGAUCAUAAACCAUUGCCUGAAUAUAACCGAAUAUUGGGACUUAAACUGUCUGGGAAAGCAUUCUCUGAUAUGUUAAUGGUCUUUGAGUUUCUUCACAAUUUUGGCGAAACUCUCGGUUUUGACAUGGAAUCGUUGCCGACUUUGGAUACAUUACAACAAGCAUUAUUAUACAACGAUACCAAUACUGAAGCAGAAGAAGAACUUUUGUCGGUUAUGACGCAUUUGUUGGUCUGUGCUAUCGAAGAUCCUGGUAUUCCUAAUCCCGUACGUCACACUACAAGUUUAGGACAAACACUUAGACAAGCAGAUAUCACUCAUCAUAACUUAUCAGAGAUUUUAAGAAUAUACCUGUAUGCAAAUGCUACUGGAGAAGUUAAAUCAUUAACAGGCGUUCAUUUUGAACGAGAGCGUGAAAAACGUGUUGCUGAUCACCAUCAAAACGGCUGUGAAAUGCAACUCACUCAAUCAGGCAAGAAUGCAACGUAUUAUGAAUUAUUACAUGAAAAUCCUACAUGGAAGAUGUCCGAUUUACUGAAGGAUAAGCCAUUCUUAGCACUGUCGCCAACAAAUAAAGCUGCUAUAUUAGCUUAUCUUUGCAAUGAACUGCUUCAGAACAAGGCUGUGAUUAGACAGAUUGAAGGAUCUCUUGAUAGUGUUGUGCAACUGAAGAAAGAAAAAUGGAUAUUAGAUACGAAAAUUCGAAAAUUGCGCAUGCUUUAUAACAGGAAAAUACGAUCUGAAGCUACAGAAAGGUCAAUCAAUAAGACCGAUGGAGACGCCACUGAAUCAGUAACGGAAGAAUUGCCACUUCUUCAUAAAGAUGAUUUGUUAGAUGAAGAUGAAAAUGAAAUGAGUGAAAAUGAAAGCGUUGGGACACAACCUGAAGAAGAAGAAGACAAUAAGUUAUCGGGAGAGGAACUUGGAAAGAAAUUGGAAAAGUUGGUAAAACAGUCUCAGAUUCAUCUUCAGUCGCUUAAUGCAGCAGGGCAUCAACUUCGUGCAACUUGUUUCGGACAAGAUCGUUAUUGGCGAAGGUAUUGGUCACUACCAAAAGCCGGGGGAGUUUUCGUUGAAGCCAUAGAAUCAGCAGAUCCAGAAUUUCUCGAAGAGAUUCAAAAAGAUGAAAAAGUGAAUGAAACUAACAUUAAUACUACAACUACCACUCACUUAGAGACUGAACAGAACGACAGUCCGCCAAGAAGUCCUUCUAUAGACCGGGAAAAUAACGUAUCAAGUGAGCAUAGUGACGUAAGCGAGGAGACUGAAAAGACUCUUAAUAACAAUGAAAAUGAACAUAGAAAAACUCCAAAUAGGUUAGAUCUGGUUGAAAAUGGUGAAAUAGGCGAUAUUUGUGAACGAAAUUUGGAUGAGCUACGGAAAAGUGUUGAUCGAAUAGUACAGAGUCUUGAGAUGGGUUGUGAUUACCCUAAAAAAGAAGACCAGCAGUCUGAAAAUAACGAAGAAAAUACAAAACCUUCCGAAAUAGAAAUAGACAUUAAUCAUGCCAACGAAGUUGUUGAUGCUGAACAUAAUGAUGCAGAUGAAAUAAAAGUAAAAUUAGAAACAGAAAAAGAGGAAAGUCCAAAGAAGUUCAACUUAUUUGAGAGGUUAGGUGAAUGUAUGGAGAAAGCAAAUGAAGAUAAAAUGAAGUCCGAGCUAAAAAUGGAAUGUAAAGAAGAAAUAAAAAGUGAAAUCCUUAACGAACUGAAAUCUGAAAUAAAAAGUGAAAAACAAGAAGACGAAGACGAAGAAAAGGCCGAAGCAGAGAACAAAUGGUUUAGUAUUUUGACAAGGGAUGGUAGUACUUGUGAAGAACUACAUCUUACACAAGGAAACCGAUGGGAUGCAGGUGGGGUUGGAAUAUGUUCUCGCGAAAACAUAACCGAACUUAAAAUUCCGGUCUUUCCUCCGCCAUCUAAUGCCGGCUACAAUUCUUGUGACAGUCCGGGUCCUUUACAAAUGACCGCAGAGGAAAGUACCCAACUCGAGUAUAUUAAAAAACACGGUUUUCCAGAACGAUCUGAACCUAAAGUUAUUCCGCGUGGCAAGCGCUACGGCUGGUGGAGGAUCAAGAAUGAAGAAGAACUGAAGACUGUCAUAGAUAGCUUACAUACUAGAGGUACGCGUGAGAGGGAGCUUCGUAGAACUAUUUUAAAUACUAUGCAAAUAAUGUAUGAAGAUAAGGGUAACGUACAUAUUGAAGAAGGACAAAAUGACAUGACUACGCUUGCACCGAGAGAUUAUUAUGUUGAAAUGGUCGAGGGAGGAGCUCCUUAUCCUGACGAACCUGGUAGUUGGAAUGCCGCAGUUGCUAAUAGAAUCGAUUUGGCAGUUUUUGAACAGUUGGAAGCAUUGGAAGAUAAGGUGGCAAAUGCUAGUAUGCAAGUCAAAGGAUGGAGACCUCCGACACGUAAUGGUAUUGAUAUUCCUGAGGGUGAAAUAAUAAUUUCUGCAAAGGAACGAUUGGCAGGAUUAGAAGCCGCCAUUGAACGAAGAUAUCUAAAACCACCUCUUGGAAUAAAUACCGGAGAUCCAAAUUUGGCAGUUAUCGCACAAGAAGCAUCUGGAGGAAGUACACCUAUGCAAUCUAUGCCAAGUCCGGACGAAAUUCCGAAGGGGUUGUCGGUUUGGCGCGAGGCAGUUAGUAGGGCACAGACGGCCGCUCAACUUGCUAUGUGUUUGUACAGCUUAGAGUCGUCCAUCGCUUGGGACAAAAGUAUCAUGAAAGCUGUGAGCCACCCUUCUCAGAUUGAUAUUUUGACUAAUCAGAGAGCUCGCAAUUAUAACACCAAACUAAGUGUGGGUGCUUGCGCUUUUUCCUUUUAUUUUUUUCUUUUCAUUUAUCCUUUUCGCUUUUUCAAUUAUUUUGCUUAAUUUUGUUACAUUUGCUGUUUUAUUGUUUUUUUUUUGUUUGACUGUGCCAAAUAUAACAUUUACAGAGGUUUUUCUGACGGGAGGGAUACAUAAUGAGGAAACGUUGAUUCAGUUUCAAAUUAGUACAUUUCCUUUGUAAUAUCCACAACGCAUUCUGUGCUCCGAAUAUAAAUUUGGAUCAGUGAACCAUUUUGGCAACUGCACACAACAUAUGUAAUAAAAUAGUUUGUUGCAUUUUUGAAUAAUCAUUAUUCCUGACUUAAUUUUAAGGCACAAUAUUUGUUCAAGUCGACAGCUUAAAAUCUCGUUCAGAAACGCUUCAUUAUCAAACAAUGACCGCGGUAUAUUACUUCCAAAAGUCUUUUAAAGUAUAGGGAAAGUUAUUAAAUAAAUUCUUAUUUUUUUUUAUUUACCUUUCAUUUAAUAUCUCUGUUUUCUUAAAAACAUUACUUUUUAUUACGUUUAGGCAUCUUGAAUAAAUUUAGGAGAGUAAAUUAAAGAAAAUUCCAUGGUCUGUAAUACAUCAUUUACAAUGGUCAAAGGCACAGUCAACCAUUUGUCAAUGCUUAUAUUAUUGUUCGUAAAUUGUCACAUUAACAAUAGAUCGUAGAUUUUUAACAGUACUUCUUAAUUACAUGCUAUUUAGAAAAUAAUUUUAUAGAUGUCACAAAAGUAUUGCAAAACCAAAAUAUUCGUACUUCGGCUACUCUUAUUAGAACGAUAAUUAACUAUUCAUAAAUUCAGAAAUAAUUUUAAAUAAAACAUAUUUUGCUCGAAAUUUUAAAAAUAGUAAAAUACUCUCAUUUGUCUUUGUUAAUAUGACUAAGCACCACACUAUCAUCCGCCCCUCUCAGACAGGCAAGAGAGUAUCUAUUCAUAAUAAAACCGCGAACAACUAAUUAUUAAUCCUAAUUUGUACUAUCAGCAGCACUCAUGUUGCUUUACAUUAUAUAAUUCUUUACUUUGGCAUGAACUACCUCACUUCAAUUUUAUUCUUUUUAUUAUUUGCAUGUUGUACUUUUUCUAUGCGCACAUUCACUAAUAACCUCUCGCCGGUUGUCAUUGAGAAUUAUAAUAACAGUAAAUAAAAAAGUAGAUCUUUUCUUUUUCCUACUUAUAUUUCGCUACUAUAUAUUUCAAGAAUGUUUAUUAAUGUAC
This 7328-nucleotide unclassified non-coding RNA is filed under the name Agrilus planipennis (emerald ash borer). RNAcentral describes it as "uncharacterized LOC108740196, transcript variant X9". The record is from RNAcentral. Lineage: Eukaryota; Metazoa; Arthropoda; Insecta; Coleoptera; Buprestidae.